GUCGGUGUAGUACAAUGGAAGUAUAGCGGAUCUAGGCCCGAAGACCCAGUGUUCGAUACCUGGCGCCGACC
This is a non-coding RNA of Amniculicola lignicola CBS 123094, 71 nucleotides long. NCBI's taxonomy places the organism in Eukaryota, Fungi, Ascomycota, Dothideomycetes, Pleosporales, Amniculicolaceae. The record is from the annotation of a GenBank genome assembly.